CCUACGGGGGGCUGCAGUGGGGAAUUUUCCGCAAUGGGCGAAAGCCUGACGGAGCAAUACCGCGUGAGGGAGGAAGGCCUUUGGGUUGUAAACCUCUUUUCUCAAGGAAGAAGUUCUGACGGUACUUGAGGAAUCAGCAUCGGCUAACUCCGUGCCAGCAGCCGCGGUAAUACGGAGGAUGCAAGCGUUAUCCGGAAUUAUUGGGCGUAAAGCGUCCGCAGGCGGUUUCACAAGUCUGCUGUCAAAGACUGGAGCUUAACUCCGGGCAGGCGGUG
Molecule: ribosomal RNA, 275 nt
Filed under: uncultured bacterium
Lineage: Bacteria
Description: partial 16S ribosomal RNA
Rfam family: Bacterial small subunit ribosomal RNA
Source: RNAcentral